Molecule: ribosomal RNA, 420 nt
Filed under: uncultured bacterium
Lineage: Bacteria
Description: bacterial SSU rRNA
Rfam family: Bacterial small subunit ribosomal RNA
Source: RNAcentral
UAGGGAAUAUUGCGCAAUGGGGGAAACCCUGACGCAGCAACGCCACGUGUGGGAAGACGCAUUUCGGUGUGUAAACCACUGUCGAUGGGGAACAAUUUGGCCUAGCGGCCAGUUGAGUGUACCCAUAAAGGAAGCACCGGCUAACUUCGUGCCAGCAGCCGCGGUAAUACGAGGGGUGCGAGCGUUGUUCGGAAUCACUGGGCGUAAAGGGUUCGUAGGCGGAAGAGCAAGCCAGGCGUCUAAUUCCAGGGCUCAACCCUGGGCUUGCGCUUGGAACUGCUUUUCUUGAAUGGUUCAGGGGCAGGCGGAAUACCCGGUGUAGCGGUGGAAUGCGUAGAUAUCGGGUGGAACACCAAUGGCGAAGGCAGCCUGCUGGGAACACAUUGACGCUGAGGAACGAAAGCGUGGGGAGCAAACAGG